This 495-nucleotide long non-coding RNA is filed under the name Triticum aestivum (bread wheat). Its description in RNAcentral is "long non-coding RNA (TAES_LNC023093)". Lineage: Eukaryota; Viridiplantae; Streptophyta; Magnoliopsida; Poales; Poaceae. The record is from RNAcentral.
UUCGUUUUUUACUUAUUGCAUGAAUCCUCAAGUCUUAUACCGUGCUCCUCAUGGCUGAAUAAUAUCAAACUAAGUGGGAAAAGCAUGGAUUCAACAAAACGACGAAACUUCAACCAUAGCAAGAUUGUAUAGAGAAACACCAGAAUCCUCGAACAGACAUAAAAGCCAAAACGUUCGUGAGCAAUUGCCCAGAACAAAUAACGUAGGUGAACACCAAUCAGCCACACCCAAAACGGUAAAGCACAGGUAAACAUCACACAGUAGUGGAACUUACGCCGGAUUUAUAAGCAUUACUGACAGGUAAACAUUCGGCACACCAUGCAUAAUUAUCAGGCUUGUACUUUGAUGUGAUGUGCACCAGGAUCAACCAUUUUCAUUAGACACUUCAAAAAAAGGUACUCAAAUCCCCACAGCUGAAUGUAAUAUAACACAAUCAGAUGCAGCAAAGAGCAGGUACAAACGUAAAGGAAGCAAUUCAAAAAAAAUGAGAAUUAU